GAUGAACGCUAGCGGCAGGCCUAACACAUGCAAGUCGAGGGGUAACAUAGAAAAGCUUGCUUUUCUGAUGACGACCGGCGCACGGGUGCGUAACGCGUAUACAACCUACCUUUUAGCGGGAAUAGCCCAGGGAAACUUGGAUUAAUGCCCCAUAGUAUAUAGACUUCUCCUGAAGUUUAUAUUAAACAUUUAUGGCUAUUAGAUGGGUAUGCGUCCUAUUAGUUAGUUGGUAAGGUAACGGCUUACCAAGGCAGCGAUAGGUAGGGGUCCUGAGAGGGAGAUCCCCACACUGGUACUGAGACACGGACCAGACUCCUACGGGAGGCAGCAGUGAGGAAUAUUGGACAAUGGGCGAGAGCCUGAUCCAGCCAUGCCGCGUGCAGGAAGACUGCCCUAUGGGUUGUAAACUGCUUUUACAGAGGAAGAACCACCCCCACGUGUGGGGGUUUGACGGUACUCUGCGAAUAAGGAUCGGCUAACUCCGUG
This 486-nucleotide ribosomal RNA is filed under the name uncultured bacterium. RNAcentral's name for it is "bacterial SSU rRNA". It matches the Rfam family "Bacterial small subunit ribosomal RNA", at positions 28 to 507 of the family's 1533-position model. The record is from RNAcentral.